GUGGGGAAUAUUGGACAAUGGGCGAAAGCCUGAUCCAGCCAUGCCGCGUGUGUGAAGAAGGUCUUCGGAUUGUAAAGCACUUUAAGUUGGGAGGAAGGGCAGUAAGUUAAUACCUUGCUGUUCUGACGUUACCGACAGAAUAAGCACCGGCUAACUUCGUGCCAGCAGCCGCAGUAAUACGAAGGGUGCAAGCGUUAAUCGGAAUUACUGGGCGUAAAGCGCGCGUAGGUGGUUUUGUAAGUUGGAGGUGAAAUCCCCGGGCUCAACCUGGGAACUGCCUCCAAAACUGCAUGACUAGAGUACGGUAGAGGGUAGUGGAAUUUCCUGUGUAGCGGUGAAAUGCGUAGAUAUAGGAAGGAACACCAGUGGCGAAGGCGACUACCUGGACUGAUACUGACACUGAGGUGCGAAAGCGUGGGGAGCAAACAGGAUUAGAUACCCUAGUAGUCC
RNAcentral lists this ribosomal RNA (450 nucleotides) under uncultured bacterium. RNAcentral describes it as "partial 16S ribosomal RNA". It matches the Rfam family "Bacterial small subunit ribosomal RNA", at positions 354 to 796 of the family's 1533-position model. The record is from RNAcentral.